GCGCCCGUAGCUCAAUAGGAUAGAGCAACUGCCUUCUAAGCAGUAGGUUGCCUGUUCGAUCCAGGCCGGGCGCG
RNAcentral lists this transfer RNA (74 nucleotides) under Candidatus Omnitrophota bacterium. RNAcentral describes it as "Candidatus Omnitrophica bacterium tRNA-Arg". It matches the Rfam family "tRNA". From Rfam's summary of the family: Transfer RNA (tRNA) molecules are approximately 80 nucleotides in length. The record is from RNAcentral. Lineage: Bacteria; Pseudomonadati; Candidatus Omnitrophota.